Molecule: transfer RNA, 76 nt
Filed under: Candidatus Omnitrophica bacterium ADurb.Bin292
Lineage: Bacteria; Pseudomonadati; Candidatus Omnitrophota
Also listed under: 1 other name
Description: tRNA-Thr
Rfam family: tRNA
About the family: Transfer RNA (tRNA) molecules are approximately 80 nucleotides in length. Their secondary structure includes four short double-helical elements and three loops (D, anti-codon, and T loops).
Source: RNAcentral
GCUGGAGUAGCUCAGCUGGUAGAGCAGCUGUUUCGUAAACAGCAGGUCGUCGGUUCAAAUCCGACCUCCAGCUCCA